AUGAAUUGUAAAUGGGGGCUGAUGCUGGCAGUUGAUUCUUCAGCUGUAUUGUGCACGCUUCUAACAAUCUUUAUCCAAACACUUGUGCACCUUUGAAAGAAGGGGGGAAACCUUCCCCCUUCUUAUUUACAUACACCGCUUCUAUAAUGUCGAAUGUGAUCUUGUGCCUUUUCCUUCAAGGAGGGCCUGACUUAAUGUUAAUA
Molecule: unclassified non-coding RNA, 203 nt
Filed under: uncultured Clavulina
Lineage: Eukaryota; Fungi; Basidiomycota; Agaricomycetes; Cantharellales; Hydnaceae
Description: sequence contains ITS1
Source: RNAcentral